This 465-nucleotide ribosomal RNA is filed under the name uncultured bacterium. RNAcentral describes it as "partial 16S ribosomal RNA". It matches the Rfam family "Bacterial small subunit ribosomal RNA", at positions 338 to 795 of the family's 1533-position model. The record is from RNAcentral.
CCUACGGGAGGCUGCAGUAGGGAAUCUUCCGCAAUGGGCGAAAGCCUGACGCAGCAACGCCGCGUGAGUGAUGAAGGUCUUCGGGUCGUUAAACUCUGUUAUUAGGUAAGAACAUACGUCUACGUAACUAUGCACGUCUUGACGGUACCUAAUCAGAAAGCCACGGCUUCCUACGUGCCACCAGCCGCGGUAAUACGGAGGGGGCAAGCGUUAUCCGGAAUUGUUGGGCGUAAAGCGGGCGUGGGCGUGUCGUUAAGUCUGAUGGGAAAGCCCACGGCUCAACCGUGGAGGGGCAUUUGAAACUGGAAGACUUGAGUGCAGAAGAGGAAAGUGGAAUGCCAGGUGUAGCGGUGAAAUGCGCAGAGAUAUGGAGGAACACCAGUGGCGAAGGCGACUUUCUGGUCUGUAACUGACGCUGAUGUGCGAAAGCGUGGGGAUCAAACAGGAUUAGAUACCCGGGUAGUC